GCUUGCUGCUUUGCUGACGAGUGGCGGACGGGUGAGUAAUGUCUGGGAAACUGCCUGAUGGAGGGGGAUAACUACUGGAAACGGUGGCUAAUACCGCAUAACGUCGCAAGACCAAAGAGGGGGACCUUCGGGCCUCUUGCCAUCAGAUGUGCCCAGAUGGGAUUAGCUAGUUGGUGAGGUAACGGCUCACCAAGGCGACGAUCCCUAGCUGGUCUGAGAGGAUGACCAGCCACACUGGAACUGAGACACGGUCCAGACUCCUACGGGAGGCAGCAGUGGGGAAUAUUGCACAAUGGGCGCAAGCCUGAUGCAGCCAUGCCGCGUGUAUGAAGAAGGCCUUCGGGUUGUAAAGUACUUUCAGCGGGGAGGAAGGUGUUGUGGUUAAUAACCGCAGCAAUUGACGUUACCCGCAGAAGAAGCACCGGCUAACUCCGUGCCAGCAGCCGCGGUAAUACGGAGGGUGCAAGCGUUAAUCGGAAUUACUGGGCGUAAAGCGCACGCAGGCGGUCUGUCAAGUCGGAUGUGAAAUCCCCGGGCUCAACCUGGGAACUGCAUUCGAAACUGGCAGGCUUGAGUCUUGUAGAGGGGGGUAGAAUUCCAGGUGUAGCGGUGAAAUGCGUAGAGAUCUGGAGGAAUACCGGUGGCGAAGGCGGCCCCCUGGACAAAGACUGACGCUCAGGUGCGAAAGCGUGGGGAGCAAACAGGAUUAGAUACCCUGGUAGUCCACGCCGUAAACGAUGUCUACUUGGAGGUUGUGCCCUUGAGGCGUGGCUUCCGGAGCUAACGCGUUAAGUAGACCGCCUGGGGAGUACGGCCGCAAGGUUAAAACUCAAAUGAAUUGACGGGGGCCCGCACAAGCGGUGGAGCAUGUGGUUUAAUUCGAUGCAACGCGAAGAACCUUACCUGGUCUUGACAUCCACAGAAGAAUCCAGAGAUGGAUUUGUGCCUUCGGGAACUGUGAGACAGGUGCUGCAUGGCUGUCGUCAGCUCGUGUUGUGAAAUGUUGGGUUAAGUCCCGCAACGAGCGCAACCCUUAUCCUUUGUUGCCAGCGGUCCGGCCGGGAACUCAAAGGAGACUGCCAGUGAUAAACUGGAGGAAGGUGGGGAUGACGUCAAGUCAUCAUGGCCCUUACGACCAGGGCUACACACGUGCUACAAUGGCGCAUACAAAGAGAAGCGACCUCGCGAGAGCAAGCGGACCUCAUAAAGUGCGUCGUAGUCCGGAUUGGAGUCUGCAACUCGACUCCAUGAAGUCGGAAUCGCUAGUAAUCGUGGAUCAGAAUGCCACGGUGAAUACGUUCCCGGGCCUUGUACACACCGCCCGUCACACCAUGGGAGUGGGUUGCAAAAGAAGUAGGUAGCUUAACCUUCGGGAGGGCGCUUACCACUUUGUGAUUCAUGACUGGGGUGAAGUCGUAACAAGGUAACCGUAGGGGAACCUGCGGUUGGAUCACCUCCUUACCUUAAAGAA
RNAcentral lists this ribosomal RNA (1471 nucleotides) under Salmonella enterica. Its description in RNAcentral is "bacterial SSU rRNA". It matches the Rfam family "Bacterial small subunit ribosomal RNA". Lineage: Bacteria; Pseudomonadati; Pseudomonadota; Gammaproteobacteria; Enterobacterales; Enterobacteriaceae. The record is from RNAcentral.